Molecule: ribosomal RNA, 496 nt
Filed under: Salmonella enterica subsp. enterica serovar Enteritidis
Lineage: Bacteria; Pseudomonadati; Pseudomonadota; Gammaproteobacteria; Enterobacterales; Enterobacteriaceae
Description: partial 23S ribosomal RNA
Rfam family: Bacterial large subunit ribosomal RNA
Source: RNAcentral
AUUAACUGAAUCCAUAGGUUAAUGAGGCGAACCGGGGGAACUGAAACAUCUAAGUACCCCGAGGAAAAGAAAUCAACCGAGAUUCCCCCAGUAGCGGCGAGCGAACGGGGAGGAGCCCAGAGCCUGAAUCAGCAUGUGUGUUAGUGGAAGCGUCUGGAAAGGCGCGCGAUACAGGGUGACAGCCCCGUACACAAAAGCGCAUGUGCUGUGAGCUCGAUGAGUAGGGCGGGACACGUGGUAUCCUGUCUGAAUAUGGGGGGACCAUCCUCCAAGGCUAAAUACUCCUGACUGACCGAUAGUGAACCAGUACCGUGAGGGAAAGGCGAAAAGAACCCCGGCGAGGGGAGUGAAAAAGAACCUGAAACCGUGUACGUACAAGCAGUGGGAGCACAGGUUUACCUGUGUGACUGCGUACCUUUUGUAUAAUGGGUCAGCGACUUAUAUUCUGUAGCAAGGUUAACCGAAUAGGGGAGCCGGAGGGAAACCGAGUCUUAAU